UGGGGAAUCUUCCGCAAUGGACGAAAGUCUGACGGAGCAACGCCGCGUGAGUGAAGAAGGUUUUCGGAUCGUAAAACUCUGUCUUUUGGGGCGAACGUGAGUAUGGUGAACAAUCAUAGUCAGUGACGGUACCAAAGGAGGAAGCCACGGCUAACUACGUGCCAGCAGCCGCGGUAAUACGUAGGUGGCAAGCGUUGUCCGGAAUUAUUGGGCGUAAAGAGCGCGUAGGCGGGAUAGUCAGUCUGUUGUAAAGUGCGGGCUCAACCCCGUGAUCGCAAUGGAAACAGCUAUUCUUGAGUGCAGGAGAGGAAAGUGGAAUUCCCAGUGUAGCGGUGAAAUGCGUAGAUAUUGGGAGGAACACCAGUGGCGAAGGCGACUUUCUGGACUGUGUCUGACGCUGAGGCGCGAAAGCCAGGGGAGCGAACGGGAUUAGAUACCCCGGUAGUCCUGGCCGUAAACGAUGGGUACUAGGUGUGGGAGGUAUCGACCCCUUCCGUGCCGGAGUUAACGCAAUAAGUACCCCGCCUGGGGAGUACGGUCGCAAGACUGAAACUCAAAUGAAUUGACGGGGUCAUAGCUGUUUCCU
RNAcentral lists this ribosomal RNA (586 nucleotides) under uncultured bacterium. Its description in RNAcentral is "partial 16S ribosomal RNA". It matches the Rfam family "Bacterial small subunit ribosomal RNA", at positions 355 to 1375 of the family's 1533-position model. The record is from RNAcentral.